This 1593-nucleotide long non-coding RNA is filed under the name Felis catus (domestic cat). RNAcentral describes it as "lncRNA (ENSFCAG00000052698.1)". Lineage: Eukaryota; Metazoa; Chordata; Mammalia; Carnivora; Felidae. The record is from RNAcentral.
AUGUCCCUCAGCUCUCCUCACGCCCCCCUCAGGUCCCCUCGUGCCCCCCUCAGGUCCCCCCACACCCCCCUCAGCUCUCCUCACAUCGCCCUCAGCUCUCCUCACGUCCCCCUCCGCUCUCCUCAUGCCCCCCUCAGCUCUCCUCACGCCCCCCUCAGCUCUCCUCACGCACCCCUCAGCUCUCCUUUCGUCCCCUCAGCUCUCCUCAGGUCCCCUCACGCCCCCCUCAGCUCUCCUCACGCCCCCCUCUGCUCUCCUCACGCCCCCCUCAGGUCCCCCCACAUCCCCCUCAGCUCUCCUCACGUCCCUCAGCUCUCCUCACGCCCCCCUCAGGUCCCCCCACACCCCCCUCAGCUCUCCUCACGCCCCCCUCAGCUCUCCUCAUGUCCCCCUCAGGUCCCUCAGCUCUCCUCACGUCCCUCAGCUCUCCUCAGGCCCCCCUCAGCUCUCCUCAUGUCCCCCUCAGGUCCCUCAGGUCCCCUCACGCCCCCUUCAGCUCUCCUCACGUCCCUCAGCUCUCCUCACACCCCCCUCAGGUCCCCCCACACCCCCCUCAGCUCUCCUCACGCACCCCUCAGCUCUCCUCACACCCCCCUCAGCUCUCCUCACGUCCCCCUCAGCUCUCCUCAUGUCCCCCUCAGGUCCCCUCACGCCCCCUUCAGCUCUCUUUCGUCCCCAUCAGCUUUCGUCACGCCCCCCUCAGCUCUCCUCACGCCCCCUUCAGCUCUCCUCACGCCCCCCUCUGCUCUCCUCACAUCGCCCUCAGCUCUCCUCAUGUCCCCCUCAGCUCUCCUCAGGUCCCCCCAACACCCCCCUCAGGUCCCCCCACACCCCCCUCGGGUCUCCUCAGGUCCCUCAGCUCUCCUUUCGUCCCCUCAGCUCUCCUCACGCCCCCCUCAGCUCUCCUCACCUCCCCUCAGCUCUCCUCAGGCCCCCCUCAGCUCCCCCCAAACCCCCCUCAGGUCCCCCCACACCCCUCUCAGCUCUCCUCACGUCCCCCUCAGCUCUCCUCAACGCCCCCCCUCACUCUCCUCACACCCCCCUCAGCUCCCCCCAAACCCCCCUCAGCUCUCCUCAGGUCCCCUCACGCCCCCCUCAGCUCCCCCCAAACCCCCCUCAGGUCCCCCCACAUCCCCCUCAGCUCUCCUCAUGUCCCUCAGCUCUCCUCACACCCCCCUCAGGUCCCCCCAACACCCCCCUCAGCUCUCACGCCCCCCUCGGCUCUCCUCAGGCCCCCCUCAGCUCUCCUCACGCCCCCCUCAGCUCUCCUCACGCCCCCCUCAGCUCUCCUCACACCCCCCUCAGGUCCCCCCACACCCCCCUCAGCUCUCCUCACGCCCCCCUCAGCUCCCCCCAAACCCUCCUCAGGUCCCCCCACAUCCCCCUCAGGUCCCCCACAUCCCCCUCAGCUCUCCUCAUGUCCCUCAGCUCUCCUCACGUCCCCCUCGAGCCCGGCCUCCUCCUGUGGGCUCCAUUUUGAGGCAUGGCACCCUUUUUCACUCUGACACCGAAGUCAGAGACCUGGGAGGCGGCCUGUCCCCGUCCCUGCCGUUCGUCGGGAGCGCACGGCACACGAGGGCCCAGAGGCGCUGA